This is a non-coding RNA of Oreochromis niloticus (Nile tilapia), 523 nucleotides long. NCBI's taxonomy places the organism in Eukaryota, Metazoa, Chordata, Actinopteri, Cichliformes, Cichlidae. The record is from the annotation of a RefSeq genome assembly.
ACAUUUAUUUGUCUGACUGCUUAGAAUAUGACAGCAUAGUGGGCAGGAACAGUUAUACAAGAUGGACUACUGGACAGCACUGCUACUGUUAACUGUCUGCUGGGCAGGUGUUGAUGGUCAGACUCUGACACAAUCUGAACCGACAGUUAAAAGACCAGGAGAAUCCCACAGACUGACCUGUACAGCAUCUGGAUAUACCUUUGGAAGCUACAGCCUGGUCUGGGUCAGACAGGCUCCUGGAAAAGGACUGGAGUGGAUUGCUUACAUAUUUUGGAGUGAUGGCAGCACUUCCUAUUCUCAGUCAGUUCAAGGCCGGUUUACCAUCUCCAAGGACAACAGCAAACAGCAGCUGUAUCUGCAGAUGAACAGUCUGAAGACUGAAGAUUCUGCUGUUUAUUAUUGUGCUCGAAAUCCACAGUGACUGAAGUUGUUUAAGCAGCUGUACAAAAUCCUGCAGUCCUCAUUAUGCAUCAUAAUUGUAGUAUAAUGAAAACAUUAUCCAUACUAAUACAAUUAAACCUAA